This 76-nucleotide transfer RNA is filed under the name Streptomyces longisporus. Its description in RNAcentral is "tRNA-Gln". It matches the Rfam family "tRNA". From Rfam's summary of the family: Transfer RNA (tRNA) molecules are approximately 80 nucleotides in length. Their secondary structure includes four short double-helical elements and three loops (D, anti-codon, and T loops). Further hydrogen bonds mediate the characteristic L-shaped molecular structure. tRNAs have two regions of fundamental functional importance: the anti-codon, which is responsible for specific mRNA codon recognition, and the 3' end, to which the tRNAs corresponding amino acid is attached (by aminoacyl-tRNA synthetases). tRNAs cope with the degeneracy of the genetic code in two manners: having more than one tRNA (with a specific anti-codon) for a particular amino acid; and 'wobble' base-pairing, i.e. permitting non-standard base-pairing at the 3rd anti-codon position. RNAcentral also lists the same sequence under 23 other names. Lineage: Bacteria; Bacillati; Actinomycetota; Actinomycetes; Kitasatosporales; Streptomycetaceae. The record is from RNAcentral.
UCCCCCGUGGUGUAACUGGCAGCACACUAGAUUUUGGAUCUAGUAGGACAAGGUUCGAAUCCUUGCGGGGGAGCCA